GUAGGCAUAGUUUAAACAAAACGUUAGAUUGUGAUUCUAAAAAUAGAGGUUAAAGUCUUCUUGCUCACC
This 69-nucleotide transfer RNA is filed under the name Pangasianodon gigas (Mekong giant catfish). Its description in RNAcentral is "tRNA-His". It matches the Rfam family "tRNA". Rfam says of the family: Transfer RNA (tRNA) molecules are approximately 80 nucleotides in length. RNAcentral also lists the same sequence under 1 other name. The record is from RNAcentral. Lineage: Eukaryota; Metazoa; Chordata; Actinopteri; Siluriformes; Pangasiidae.